Molecule: long non-coding RNA, 540 nt
Organism: Passer montanus (Eurasian tree sparrow)
Lineage: Eukaryota; Metazoa; Chordata; Aves; Passeriformes; Passeridae
Exons: 3
Source: RefSeq, a predicted model, not a curated record
GGCCCGCGCCCGAGGAGCCCCGCCGGGAAGGCGCAGCCGCCGGCCGUGUGCGCCUCGGGGCUGCGCGCCCCGCGUCUCGCUGCGCCCGCAGCUACGGUGCAGCAGCUCUGAACUCGCAGGUCCGGCUACUCUCAAACAAUACCGAGGUUUUCAUCUCGCUCUACAUGACCUGUGGGACGUAAAUGCUUUUAAUUUAGGAUAGUGUCAUUUUUGCUUAUUUCACCAUUGAGGUUUCAGCCAGGAGCCUCUGAGAAUUCCAUUUCUGACCCAUGUCAGUUGCCAUGUCCUGACCUCCAUCAAACACCUGACCAUCCACUCUCAGUGCUAUAGUAUAACCUAUAUGAAAUAUGGAUCUCAAACUCCCUUCUUAAAACACAUUACCAAGAGUCCCUGGUCUAACACUUCAUCAGCUGCUCUUGUGGCAAGAAACUGAGGAUUAGACGAGGUCAGAGGAGUGCAUUCCCUGAAGAAGAGUGACUAAUGCAAAUGUUUUGGAAAUUGGAAGACACGAAUGACAGGUCAAAGAGUACUUGGCAGGAU